AUCAGGUGUGCUUUAUUAGGGUUGGAGUGAAAACCUAAAGGAUGGUAGCUCUCCAGGAACAGGGUUGGAGAGCGCUGCGUUAGAGGAUCCACUUUUUAGGAGAAUAAAAAUUAUACAAAAGGUGUAACAAGGCACUGGACAAGUUUAAGAGACUGGCACAUUGCUGGUAGGUAGACAGCAGAGACUGGCACAUUGCUGGUAGGUAGACAGAGACUGGCACAUUGCUGGUAGGUAGACAACAGAGACUGGCACAUUGCUGGUAGGUAGACAACAGAGACUGGCACAUUGCUGGUAGGUAGACAACAGAGACUGGCACAUUGCUGGUAGGUAGACAACAGAGACUGGCACAUUGCUGGUAGGUAGACAACAGAGACUGGCACAUUGCUGGUAG
This is a long non-coding RNA of Coregonus clupeaformis (lake whitefish), 391 nucleotides long. RefSeq lists it as uncharacterized. Lineage: Eukaryota; Metazoa; Chordata; Actinopteri; Salmoniformes; Salmonidae. The record is from RefSeq and is a predicted model, not a curated record. The transcript is spliced from 2 exons.